This 1249-nucleotide unclassified non-coding RNA is filed under the name Leishmania donovani. RNAcentral describes it as "gene:LdHU3.35.0200(CDS-product:ADP-ribosylation_f actor-like_2_arl2_putative)". The record is from RNAcentral. Lineage: Eukaryota; Euglenozoa; Kinetoplastea; Trypanosomatida; Trypanosomatidae.
UGCGGAGCGGGGGGAGGGGUACACACGUUCAUCCCGCUGGCUCCUGGCCGCGUAUGCAGUACAGUUCUCUAUUAAAGCACAUUAUCGUGGGCGUUCUGGUUAGCACACGCAAGUGUCGGUUAGGGGCAUAACGCCGUUCUCUCCGUGGCACCCCUUUUUCGCUGAUCGUCUAGUCUGCCGCGCCUUGUGUGGUGCCCUGAGCCUUUGCUUGCAAUAUUGUUUCUCGUAUGCGUGGGGCUCUGUGCCGCUGCCGUUUCUCAUUCCAGCACACAUUCCAAAGUACCUCAGCGCAUCAUCGGCGCCCGACACGAUGGGGCUUCUCUCUAUCAUCAAGAAGACGAAGCGUAAAGAGCGUGAAAUGCGCAUCCUUAUGCUAGGCCUGGACAACGCCGGGAAAACUACGUGCGUCAAAAAGCUCUGCGGGAAGGACACGAGCUCUAUCAGCCCCACUCUCGGCUUUCAGAUUACUGCUCUGACGUUUCGUGGGUGCACACUGAACGUGUGGGAUGUGGGUGGCCAGCAAAGCUUGCGCAGCUACUGGCGCAACUACUUUGAAAGCACGGAUGGUCUUGUGUGGGUGGUCGACAGCAAUGACGUGAAGAGACUGCUAAUGUGCAAGGAGGAGCUGCAUCACCUCCUGCAGGAGGAGCGACUUGCCGGAGCAAGUUUGCUCGUCUUCCUCAAUAAGAUCGACAUUCCCACUGCGUUAUCGCCGCAGGAGAUUGCCCGCCUGCUUGAUGUAGACACGAUUCGACAAGGCAAGCGCCACGUACACCUCUGCGCGUGUAGUGCCAGAACCGGUGAGGGCUUGCUAGACGGCAUUUCAUGGAUGGUAGACGACGUUUCAAAGCGCAUGUACUUAUCAAGCUAGCACCGCCCGAGGGUGUGGAGGGUAGGGGGUUGCUAACCGAGUAACCGGCGAGCGGCGCGCGGAGAGCUCUGUGAUGGCGAUGCACGUAUGACAUUUUUGGUGAGCGUCUUUGUACUGCUGCGAGCGACGCAGAAGCAUAAGAGACAUAAGAGACAAGAGAGGAAAUCAUACAGGCACGAUGGCUGCAAGGAACGGCGACGAAGCUCACAGCGUGAGGCAGCCACGUCGCCCGUCGACGGUUAGCGCGUUGGCAGUCGAUGGAGACGCUGGGUGACACUAUUAUGAAUGCGCGCAUGCCUCACUUUUUCGUCUAGGCUUCACUUCAACGUUGAUCCAAUCCCGGGCCUCAUACGUGUUCGGAGUUUUUUUUUUCUUCAG